AGACCAGGCCCGUGGGGAGUGAAUGUUCGGGACGGUGCUCGAGAGCGCUACUGUUUGGAGUUACAGAUUCUGGCUUGUGCGAUGGCUUGCCGGAACCAAAGCGAACAAAAUAUUCGAACUUUCUUCCGAACACGGUGGUGGACUCUGUUCUGCCAUAAAGUCCUGAUCCUUCCCUGAUCGACUCCGCCCUCACCAGCCACACCACCGUUUCCAGGCCGGCCACACCUGUAAGCGACCCCCCUCAACCCUGGCAAAAAUAGAGAUGGUGGCCAUACGCGGCGGAGGACACCCCUGGAUAACAAAUAGUAUUACUGCAAAGUAUUUGGCAAUCAUUAUUUUUGGAUGAGCCGCUUUCCCCGCUAGAGUCACAUACACUCUUAGCAGCUGUCAGUUCUAACCCCAAAGAAAAGGGGGAUUCUAAAAGUUUUUGCCUAGGUUUUUGGCUUCUUUUCAAGGAAUCGUGUCUAGAUACAAAGUUAUUGGUUGUCCUCUAAAGCUGGCAUCUUUCACUUUGUUCUCUAGAUUCUAGAACAAACCCAGUUAUCAAAUAAGUUAAAUGGAAGAUGUUACAGGUUCUCCACAAUGAUUUUUUUUUCCUUUUUUUUUUCCAUUUCCAUUUUUCCAUUACAAGGACUGACCAGUCCACCCUUGGAAAAAUCGAGCAAGUUCUGAAAAUAAAAAGAAAGAAGUCCUGUGUUCCCAUGAUGAUGUCAUAAUUUCAUUUCGUGUCAAGAAAACCUGUGGCUGGUCUGGGUAUUG
RNAcentral lists this long non-coding RNA (759 nucleotides) under Homo sapiens (human). RNAcentral describes it as "non-protein coding lnc-STX6-8:1". Lineage: Eukaryota; Metazoa; Chordata; Mammalia; Primates; Hominidae. The record is from RNAcentral.